UAAACCUCUUUUAGCAGGGAAGAAGCGAAAGUGACGGUACCUGCAGAAAAAGCGCCGGCUAACUACGUGCCAGCAGCCGCGGUAAUACGUAGGGCGCAAGCGUUGUCCGGAAUUAUUGGGCGUAAAGAGCUCGUAGGCGGUCUGUCGCGUCUGCUGUGAAAUCCCGAGGCUCAACCUCGGGCUUGCAGUGGGUACGGGCAGACUAGAGUGCGGUAGGGGAGAAUGGAAUUCCUGGUGUAGCGGUGGAAUGCGCAGAUAUCAGGAGGAACACCGAUGGCGAAGGCAGUUCUCUGGGCCGUAACUGACGCUGAGGAGCGAAAGCGUGGGGAGCGAACAGGAUUAGAUACCCUGGUAGUCCACGCCGUAAACGUUGGGCGCUAGUUGUGGGGACCAUUCCACGGUCUCCGUGACGUAGCUAACGCAUUAAGCGCCCCGCCUGGGGAGUACGGCCGCAAGGCUAAAACUCAAAUGAAUUGACGGAA
RNAcentral lists this ribosomal RNA (482 nucleotides) under uncultured bacterium. Its description in RNAcentral is "bacterial SSU rRNA". It matches the Rfam family "Bacterial small subunit ribosomal RNA", at positions 426 to 918 of the family's 1533-position model. The record is from RNAcentral.